Long non-coding RNA from Pieris napi, 382 nucleotides. RefSeq lists it as uncharacterized. NCBI's taxonomy places the organism in Eukaryota, Metazoa, Arthropoda, Insecta, Lepidoptera, Pieridae. The transcript is spliced from 2 exons. The record is from RefSeq and is a predicted model, not a curated record.
UAAUUGUCAAAAUUUUCAUCAUACAUAAGCAAAAUAUUUUUAAUAAAACAAAAUUACGUAUUUUGUUUAUAACUUCCAAUUAAGAGUUUAUAUUUCGUAUUUACCCGACAACUGACCAGCCGUGGUGUAUAUGAGCGACAGAAACUUAAAAAUAUUAAUUAUGUUUCAGCACGAAACAAGGGAUACCUAACAUCUGGAUAUAUUGUAAAACAUUUAAGAAUAUUAUCUUAACAAAAAGAUAAAAGAUGAUGUCACGCUAAAAGUGAUUCUCUCAGCAAAUGGGCUACGGAUUCAAAGUAAACAGGAUGGAUAGGUGUUUUAAAUUUUCAAAAUGUUACUAAAGGUAACCAAGCCAUCAGUGGUAGUUGUCAAGAAUGAGGAA